This is a long non-coding RNA of Pogona vitticeps (central bearded dragon), 1636 nucleotides long. Ensembl lists it as uncharacterized. NCBI's taxonomy places the organism in Eukaryota, Metazoa, Chordata, Lepidosauria, Squamata, Agamidae. The record is from Ensembl.
AGACUUGGUCAAAACCGUAAGUGCAACUCUGAUUUCAGUACAAAUAAGUGGGGGGGAAAAGGCAUCAUGGUUUACACAUCCAAUGAUGGGGACAUUUAAGAGAAUAGUCCAGUGAACCCAAACUUAAUCCCCCACCCACAAAAAGAUUUAGAUUAUGUGAAAUACGGUGAAGGAGAGGAGAAAGGAUCAUCCAGGUCACAAUCAGAAACACUUGGCUGCACUGGUAUAAUCUGACCAAUACUUGCAAGGAAUAACUGAGUCAGUACGAUUCAGCCCAGAGAAGCAAAUAUAGGUGUGGAAAGAAAAAACACUGAGGCAAAGUGCAGGAGGCUGGAAACAGAGAGAAACACGUGGAACACAAUAUAACUGACUUCUUCGAUGAAACCAAACUAGGGUUUCCCACCUGUUGAGAAAAGGAAACAAAAACAUGAUCAGAGGACUGGUUUUAGGGGGCAGUGAAAGAAAGAGGAUUUUACAUUUAUCUUUGAUUCAUUUUACCUCUUUUUAAUAUGCAGGACUGCUCUCUAACGAUGUUACAUGAAAGGAGGACCCUUUGAGGGCCACUGUGUUUCACAGAACCACACUCAACAGUCUGGCAGAAAGAGAAGCAGGAGAUUAGAGGGAUAGCAGUGAAGAAAGGAGGAGAGUAGUCAAGAAGAUGUAACCGGACCCUGAACCAUGAGGAAGAACGGAAGCAGCCCAUCCAGCAUGAACACCACUUGCCAGCAUCGGAGCUUGUGUUAUGACCGCCUGAUCGAAAAAUGUGUGAGCUGCAAAGAGAUGCAGAGAGGCACUGAAAAAGAACCAACCACUAUUCUCAGAGUGGCCAACCCUACAACCCGUAUACCAGCAGGACCUUUUACUGAAGAUCACACUUGCUCAGCCCUUGCCUUUGGUCUCUACAUUUUUGUGGGGCUAAUCCUUGCCUUGGCAGUGCUGUGGCUUGUAACAAACCUGAGACAAAAGAAAAAGAAGAGGAUGAAAAAAGCAGAUGAGGAAGAUCCUAAAGAAAAUAAGGACUCCUUUGAAAAUGAAGUUCAUGAAGACCAUAGCUGCGGGCAAGGAGAUGAUGCUCCUGGACUACUUAAAUGCCCACAUGAAAAUGGCACUUCAAACACUGCUGGUGAUGAAAUUUUAAUGAGGAACAUGUACCAUAUUGUUAAGGCAGGAAGUGAUGCCUCUGAAGUUGUUCCCCGGUCUCCCCUCAAUGAAGAACGCAGCCCUGCUUUUCCAGUGCCGGCAACUGAACUUGGAACAACUAUGCUGGUAACGGCCAAGACGACUCAGGGGAAUUUUCUUAGUGAAAAGUUGCCUUAACAAUAGGUUUAAAACUGCUGGGACCGGCAGGUACUCCCUAAAAUGUGAUAUCAGUACUUUUAGUAUGAUGAAAGGCUAUUGAAUGGAUACAGGCACUAGAGGUUUCUCUCACUUCUAAUGGAAGUAGGUUUGCUGUUUGCCAAAUUCUAAUGUAAUGAAGCCGGCCUCAGCUGCCAGAGGAUUUCAGUUUUGGUUCAGAUCAGAAAAAGUAAGUUAAUAAUAAUGGGAUAAUUUACCGCCCCUUGCCUGGCUGCCUUUGAAAUGGGAGAAGACAAAAAGAAAAGAUAAGUCUAAGGAAAUAAAAUUAUUAUUCAGCGCA